GCAGUGGUGGUUCACUGGUAGAAUUCUCGCCUCACACACGGGAGACCUCGGUCCGAUUCCCGGCCAAUGCA
Danio rerio (zebrafish) is the source of this 71-nucleotide non-coding RNA. The record is from Rfam. NCBI's taxonomy places the organism in Eukaryota, Metazoa, Chordata, Actinopteri, Cypriniformes, Danionidae.